AUUUUAUAAAAGAUAGUAAAUAUCAAUAGACUUCUUGCAAAUUUUGAUAUUUUUUUGGAGGUUCUAGUGUAAUUAAAUAUGAAAUAGUAAAAUACACGUGAUUUCAAUUGAAAUUUGAGUAAAUUUGGAGAGACUUUUAAAAAGUAUUGAAUAACGCGGCAGUAUUGAAAGGAACUUCGAAGAGUGAACUUUAAUUGUGAAUUUAGUUAAUGUAAAUCAAUAAUAAAAAGAACACAAAAAAAUUAAAAAAUAGUGCAAACAAAUUAAAAACUAGUGCAAAUAAAUUAUAAAACAGUGUAAACCAAUUCAAAAGAAAUAAGUUUAAAAGACAGUUUUAUAAAAAAUAAAAAACAUAUUUUGGAGGUUUGUAAUUCUCAAAAUAUGGACGUUGGGGCUUCUUUUGUCUAUUUGGUGGAAAAAGGUAUUAAUAAGGAUGUUGCAGAAAUUUUGAGAAAUUGCAAAACUGAAAACAUUCUCCAAAACAAAACUUCAAUCGUAUAAAAUAUUUAAUGAACGAGACAUUUUAAAAUCGUAGAUUUGAAGUUGGAUAUUUAAACAUAUUGGAUACUUACCUAACAUUUCUUGCCUACAAGGGCACAAUUAUUAAAAAUGGAUUGGAGCUCUUAAAAAGUAAAAGAUUUAACAUUCAAGUAUUGGAAAACCUUAACUUAGAACCAUUUUAUAGGAAGGAAACAGAAUUUCUCCAAUAUGAAAACUUAAGAAAAAUAUUUAUACUUUUGAAAAUGCUGCCAAGAAGAAAUUUGAAAAAAAGCAAUUGCUUUGAUUGCGAGUAAUUUAGAUGAUUGGGAAAAACUUGUUGCAGAGGAAGAUUUAAUAUCCCUCGUUUUAGAGAUUGAUAUUAAUGCUAAUAUAGAAAAUGUUUUAGAUAACGAAACAAUAAGCAACCGUAUCUCGUUUACAGAUGUACUGAAAAAUUUUCACGCCUGACUGAAAACAUUUAUUUAGUAAUUGACGGAAAAAUUAUGGAGUGCGCAAACGAUUUUCUUACAGCAUUUGAUACUCUUUUCAAAAUUCAUUACGUCUUGUAAUUUAAAAUUUGAUAAAAAAAUUUUGAAGUUGUUAAAUUUUUUCGAAGUUUAUAUAUACAAAAUGAAAAAUGUAAAAUGGUACUGUUUCGGUGUUAUAUUAAAAAAUUAUCAAUUAAUGUUAUUUAGUGUUUGGUUAUAUUAUAAAAUUUUCAUAAUUUUAUGUAUGUAAAUGUUGUAAAAUGAUAUACAUAGAUGACAAAUCAUUUAAAUACACCUUAUAAUAAUAUUAUAUCAAAAACAAAGAAAUGUACCACUCUUUAUACAUAUACAUAUUUUAUCUUUAAGAAGUAGGAAUGUUAAUUAUUUAUUAUUUCUUUUCUUUUUUGAAAAAUAUUAUACCUGAUUAUGUAUGUAGAUAAAUAUGAAUACUAAUACUAAAAAUGUAUUAUGACCAAAUAAUUAUAUAUUUUUUAUUAUCGGUUAAAUUUAGAAGUGCUGUAGCACGUUUCAUAUUCUUUUUCUAUAAUUAAUAAUCCUACAAAACAGUUUGUUUAUGAGAGGAUAUACACGUAUGCGUAGCAUUGAUUUCUAAUUUUUUGAAUUAACUUAAGUGUGCAAUGUAAUAAUGAUAUCACAACUUCAAAAUUAAAAAAAUGUAUGUAUUUAAAAAAAUAUAUUGCUAUGUUAAAUUUAAAUGAAAAAACGUAAGAACAUUAUCAUAGAACUUUUUGUCAAACGCUAUAAAAGUCAAAAAUAAAAACCAUAAUUUGUUAUGUAA
This is a long non-coding RNA of Condylostylus longicornis, 1767 nucleotides long. RefSeq lists it as uncharacterized. Lineage: Eukaryota; Metazoa; Arthropoda; Insecta; Diptera; Dolichopodidae. The transcript is spliced from 6 exons. The record is from RefSeq and is a predicted model, not a curated record.